CAGCAGCCGCGGUAAUACGGAGGGUGCAAGCGUUAAUCGGAAUUACUGGGCGUAAAGCGUGCGUAGGCGGUUCGUUAAGUCUGUUGUGAAAGCCCCGGGCUCAACCUGGGAAUGGCAAUGGAUACUGGCGAGCUAGAGUGUGUCAGAGGAUGGUGGAAUUCCCGGUGUAGCGGUGAAAUGCGUAGAGAUCGGGAGGAACAUCAGUGGCGAAGGCGGCCAUCUGGGGCAACACUGACGCUGAGGCACGAAAGCGUGGGGAGCAAACAGGAUUAGAUACCCCUGUAGUCCCUGUCUCUUAUAC
RNAcentral lists this ribosomal RNA (301 nucleotides) under uncultured bacterium. Its description in RNAcentral is "partial 16S ribosomal RNA". It matches the Rfam family "Bacterial small subunit ribosomal RNA", at positions 509 to 807 of the family's 1533-position model. The record is from RNAcentral.